AGAGUUUGAUCCUGGCUCAGGACGAACGCUGGCGGCGCGCCUAACACAUGCAAGUCGAACGAGCGAGAGAGAGCUUGCUUUCUCAAGCGAGUGGCGAACGGGUGAGUAACGCGUGAGGAACCUGCCUCAAAGAGGGGGACAACAGUUGGAAACGACUGCUAAUACCGCAUAAGCCCACAGCUCGGCAUCGAGCAGAGGGAAAAGGAGCAAUCCGCUUUGAGAUGGCCUCGCGUCCGAUUAGCUAGUUGGUGAGGUAAUGGCCCACCAAGGCGACGAUCGGUAGCCGGACUGAGAGGUUGAACGGCCACAUUGGGACUGAGACACGGCCCAGACUCCUACGGGAGGCAGCAGUGGGGAAUAUUGCACAAUGGGGGAAACCCUGAUGCAGCGACGCCGCGUGGAGGAAGAAGGUCUUCGGAUUGUAAACUCCUGUUGUUGAGGAAGAUAAUGACGGUACUCAACAAGGGAGUGACGGCUAACUACGUGCCAGCAGCCGCGGUAAAACGUAGGUCACAAGCGUUGUCCGGAAUUACUGGGUGUAAAGGGAGCGCAGGCGGGAAGACAAGUUGGAAGUGAAAUCUAUGGGCUCAACCCAUAAACUGCUUUCAAAACUGUUUUUCUUGAGUAGUGCAGAGGUAGGCGGAAUUCCCGGUGUAGCGGUGGAAUGCGUAGAUAUCGGGAGGAACACCAGUGGCGAAGGCGGCCUACUGGGCACCAACUGACGCUGAGGCUCGAAAGUGUGGGUAGCAAACAGGAUUAGAUACNCUGGUAGUCCACACCGUAAACGAUGAUUACUAGGUGUUGGAGGAUUGACCCCUUCAGUGCCGCAGUUAACACAAUAAGUAAUCCACCUGGGGAGUACGACCGCAAGGUUGAAACUCAAAGGAAUUGACGGGGGCCCGCACAAGCAGUGGAGUAUGUGGUUUAAUUCGACGCAACGCGAAGAACCUUACCAAGUCUUGACAUCCUGCGACGCACAUAGAAAUAUGUGUUUCCUUCGGGACGCAGAGACAGGUGGUGCAUGGUUGUCGUCAGCUCGUGUCGUGAGAUGUUGGGUUAAGUCCCGCAACGAGCGCAACCCUUACUGUCAGUUACUACGCAAGAGGACUCUGGCAGGACUGCCGUUGACAAAACGGAGGAAGGUGGGGAUGACGUCAAAUCAUCAUGCCCUUUAUGACUUGGGCUACACACGUACUACAAUGGCGUUAAACAAAGAGAAGCAAGACCGCGAGGUGGAGCAAAACUCAGAAACAACGUCCCAGUUCGGACUGCAGGCUGCAACUCGCCUGCACGAAGUCGGAAUUGCUAGUAAUCGUGGAUCAGCAUGCCACGGUGAAUACGAUCCCGGGCGUGUACACACCGCCCGUCAA
Molecule: ribosomal RNA, 1370 nt
Filed under: uncultured bacterium
Lineage: Bacteria
Description: bacterial SSU rRNA
Rfam family: Bacterial small subunit ribosomal RNA
Source: RNAcentral